Non-coding RNA from Macaca mulatta (Rhesus monkey), 623 nucleotides. The record is from RefSeq and is a predicted model, not a curated record. Lineage: Eukaryota; Metazoa; Chordata; Mammalia; Primates; Cercopithecidae.
AGCCAAUUUAAAAAACCUAUGUGAAAAAUGAUUAUUUUUGCUGUACUUUACACAAAUAAUCAGGCUAAGUAUAAGACUGUGGCUUAGUUUUGCAAACAAAAUAGUCCUAUUAGGAUUUGUCUUUAGUAAAAAUGGGAGAAUAGAGAGAUAAAAAAACACGUUUUAGUAACAAUGGUACACUUGUUAUAAAACUGUGAUCUCCAGUUGUUUUUGAGGGUUUUUUUUUUUUUUUUUGUACAAUUUAGACUGAACCUGCUAUUUAUGUGAACCAACCAGUGAUCUCUUAUGGCUGUUCAAAAGUAACAAGAGAGAUGGCAACAUAGAUGCAGUUAGAGGCCAUAACCAUAAGGGAGCUAACACAAGAAGAAACAACAAAAUUGCACAUGUUUUCAUGUGUAAGUGGGACCUUAACAUUGAGCACUGGAACAUGAAUGUGAAGAUGAGAAAAACAGACACUGUGGACUCCUACAGGUAGGUGGUAAGGAGUGGAAUGUUGGUUGAAAAACUACCUAUUCAACGUUAGGCUCACUACCUGGGUCCAAUAUUGCCAUGUAACAAUCCUACACAUGUAACCCCUGUAUCUCCCUGUAUCUUAAAUAAAAAGUUGAAAUUUGGAAAAGAAA